GCGUAGCUCAGUGGAUAGAGCGUCUGCCUCCGGAGCAGAAGGUCGUAGGUUCGAAUCCUGUCGCG
This 65-nucleotide transfer RNA is filed under the name Dermabacter hominis. It matches the Rfam family "tRNA", at positions 5 to 66 of the family's 71-position model. Rfam says of the family: Transfer RNA (tRNA) molecules are approximately 80 nucleotides in length. Their secondary structure includes four short double-helical elements and three loops (D, anti-codon, and T loops). The record is from RNAcentral. Lineage: Bacteria; Bacillati; Actinomycetota; Actinomycetes; Micrococcales; Dermabacteraceae. RNAcentral also lists the same sequence under 1 other name.